RNAcentral lists this ribosomal RNA (519 nucleotides) under Didymellaceae sp. sib5-1-2. Its description in RNAcentral is "eukaryotic LSU rRNA". The stretch from base 149 to 302 matches the Rfam family "5.8S ribosomal RNA". The record is from RNAcentral. Lineage: Eukaryota; Fungi; Ascomycota; Dothideomycetes; Pleosporales; Didymellaceae.
GAUCAUUACCUAGAGUUUGUGGGCUUUGCCCGCUACCUCUUACCCAUGUCUUUUGAGUACUUACGUUUCCUCGGCGGGUCCGCCCGCCGAUUGGACAAAAUUAAACCCUUUGCAGUUGCAAUCAGCGUCUGAAAAACAUAAUAGUUACAACUUUCAACAACGGAUCUCUUGGUUCUGGCAUCGAUGAAGAACGCAGCGAAAUGCGAUAAGUAGUGUGAAUUGCAGAAUUCAGUGAAUCAUCGAAUCUUUGAACGCACAUUGCGCCCCUUGGUAUUCCAUGGGGCAUGCCUGUUCGAGCGUCAUUUGUACCUUCAAGCUUUGCUUGGUGUUGGGUGUUUGUCUCGCCUUUGCGUGUAGACUCGCCUCAAAACAAUUGGCAGCCGGCGUAUUGAUUUCGGAGCGCAGUACAUCUCGCGCUUUGCACUCAUAACGACGACGUCCAAAAGUACAUUUUUACACUCUUGACCUCGGAUCAGGUAGGGAUACCCGCUGAACUUAAGCAUAUCAAUAAGCGGAGGA